RNAcentral lists this long non-coding RNA (3493 nucleotides) under Panax ginseng (ginseng). Its description in RNAcentral is "long non-coding RNA (PGIN_LNC005027)". Lineage: Eukaryota; Viridiplantae; Streptophyta; Magnoliopsida; Apiales; Araliaceae. The record is from RNAcentral.
ACGGUCGUCCUCAAAAUUGAUUACAAACGCUAUCUAACUCAACCAACCUAUAUUACAUCCUGAAAUGUAAACAUCACAUAGAAAUAUAAUAUCAUAUCUUCAAAAGAUUUAAGUUGUCUUUAGUCUGGUGAUCUUCAUUUGGGUUUGCUUUCUUGGAAUUGAGUUUUUCAUCCCUAUGAAAUAAAAUAAUGUACCAAAAAGUGCAAGGCAAAUAUAUUAAAAAAUAUGAGACUACCAAAUAUAAAUAGCAAGACCCCUCCAUCAUUGACAUUCCUCUCAUCAAAGCUUACCAGGUCAAACUAUAUAUAUAUAUAUAUAUAUAUAUAUAUAUAUAUAUAUAUAUAGUAGUGAUCGAUAAGCUUUAGGUAGUGCUAUAAAGACUACUGCAUAUUGGCUAACAAAAUUAUUGAUUCUAACAAAAAAAUUCCACGCUACAUAUAUAAAUAGUAUUUCUAUUAGUAUAUAUAUUUGACUAUGUCAAAUUGAUAGAAGAUGUUUAUCAAUACAUGCAUGGGGUAAGAGUAUUAAUUACCAUAUGAAACAUAAUUUUGAAGGAUAUCAGCUACAAUGUGGUAGACAUCUACAUAAAGAAAUUUUGAUCUGUUGAGAUUGGCAGCAAACUCCAUUAGAAGACUCUGUAACUAACUGCUGAAUGACUGGACAAAUUGAUUUGGCAAAACAACACAGUUGUCUCGAAUUAUACGUAAGAAACGGUAAGCAAUAUAAUCAUCAAAUAUGUAUAUAAGAAACGGAAAGCAACAUAAUCAUCAAAUUAGAUUUCAACGAAAUCUUUUAAGCUAUGUUUGCAACUCAAUCCAAGCCUAACAAUUGAAAGUGAGCCUAAAUUUUAGUUCUAUAGAAUUGCAAUUGUGCUUUCAAUUCAAAUUCAAGAGUUUCAAAUCGAGUUGUCAGAUAUAGAAUGAAAAUCAAGGAUUGAUUUCAUGGAAAAUAACUUACAAAAAUCUUUCCAGUUUCAUUGACAAUUCUUCCUACACCGGAAGCAUAGUUGACACCCUGCAGAAUUACAGGUCCCCUGGUGGUUGGAGCCAAAUAUGGAGGAGCAAAAUCUUUAAAAUCGGUUUGUUGUCCCGGUAUAACAAAAAAUUAUAAACAAACAUAAAGAUUUUUUUGUUGUUGCUAAACAAACGUAUAACAGAUUUUGUCAAAGUUUGUCACAUAACAGAUUUAGUUUUUCGUAUUAAUAUGCAUCUUUAGCUAGUAAUUAAUAUGCAUCUUUAGCUAGUAAUGAUGAGAGUUCAACAUCAACUGAGAAAGAAGUGAGUGUCUUGGAGGAGCUUCUUGAAUCAGAACCAAAAAAAAGAAACCAAACAAAGAUCGAGUAUUUUAAAUGCAGUUUUAAUUUUAAUUAUGUUUUUUUCCCGAGUAUCCUUUUUUUCCCUGUGUUUUUUUUAUAAAUUUAUUUGUUUUUAUCUUCUUUUAAUUCUUUCUGUAUUUGAAGAGAAACGUGUAUCAAUUUGAUAAUAAUUAAAUAAAAAAAUUAUUUCUUUUUGACACAUCAGAACUAAAAUGUCACAUGUAUGUGUCACAUCAUCAAUUUGUGACAUGGCGGUUUCCAAUUGAAUCAAAAUGGAAAAAAUUGAAAGCUUAAUAACUUAAUUGAAAAAAUUAAAAAGUGGAAUAUCGAAGUGGAAAAAGUGUAAUAGUUUAGGAUAAUAAUUCAUAUUUAAGCCUAAACUCAACUACUCAAGUAUUGUUCUACCAUUUGCAUAUGGAAGAACAAAAUCUUACCUAAAAUAUCAGAUAUUGUUCUGCCAUUUGUGUAUCGUCAUGUUGGCUUCCCAAAAUCAAUACCAUUAGGAGGGUAAGGAUAGAGACACAAUGUAGUUAUUGUUUCUAGCUUCAACCAAAGAGUCCAAAAAUAAAAUUAGCAAAAAAAAAUUCUGCUGAACAAAUGCCCAACCAAACAAAGACUGUCAAAACUACACAACACCAACAAUAACUCUUUUUGAUGAUAGAUUAGCCAUUACAAUCAAUGUGUAAGAGAAAAAACAGUUAUGGGUAUGCUCUACCAAUACAAAAUCUGCAUGAAAAAACUAAGUAAAGAAUACUUUCCCCUUCCUCACAAUUGAAGGAUGAGGAAGAGGAGGAAGAGGAGGAAUCUCUACAAUUUAACAGAGUGCAACAAAUGUUCUUCAAAGGAUUUAAUAUUUUUUAAUUUUAAUAUUGUUCAAUGAAAAUCAAAGUUUUAGAUACCAAGUUAAUAAUAUUUUCAGACAUUGAUGAAAUGACCUACUACUUCACAAAAACUAAUUCCUUAUUUGUGAUUCAGUCAGAACAUACAUCAAACAAAUGGGAUGCAAAGACCAAAAACAAAAAAAAAAGAAAAAAUGACCAAUAACAAAUACUUGACGAAGUUAUUGGCCUCUCAGUGUCAUGGGUAUUUUAGAUUUGAUAAAAUGCAGAUGCAUAACAAAUAGUAAUAAGCAAAUUCAAAUACCUGAAGAUGGAAGAUUUCGUUCGAAAAGUGUGGAAUUAUUCACUUCCGAUCACUAGCUAAUCCUGUAUAUAGACAAUAUGUAUUUUCGUUUAGUAGAGUUUCUAUUUGACGGUAAAGAAAAACCCCAAAACAACCAGCCCCAGAGCGAAAUUCAUUCAAUAACCCUUAUACCUAUCUCAACUCACACCCAAAUUUCCUAAAAUGCCAAUUCAUUCAAUAACCCUUCUAUAAAAUUUGUCAAAUAGGAAUCAGAAAUAUAUACUUACAGAAGUGUGGAUGCCAAUAAAUGCAAAGAAUCCAAGUAUUGGAGCACAAAAAUGUUAUCUGAAUCCAACACUCCAAAAAAUAGGCUUUUGAUUUAGAGUAUUUUCAACAGCUCAAAAUACUGAUUAAAUAACAUCACUAAAAAACACACAAAGCCCCAGUUCCAAUUUAUCUAAAUUCAUUUUAAAAUUAAACCCAAUUAGCUUCUUCAACAAUUUUCACAAAGCCCAAUUACAAAAUCAUUAGAUGUUAACUACAGAUACUUAAAUUGCAAGAACUGAAUCUCGUUAUCAAUAAUCUAACAUAAAAACCUAAUAUUUUUCGAGAUAGAUUACACAAUUUAGAAACACUACAGCAAAAUAAAUUUGAUAAAAUUAGCUAAAUAAUGAAUAUAGAGUUUGUAUAUAUAUGAGAUGAAUGAGAUUUGAGUACCGUUUGGGAAUUGAGAAUGAGGACCUUUUGAAUUUGUAACGUUUGAGUUUGAAAGAUUACUAUGAGCAAUCAAAAUAUAUGCUAAGAUCGGUAGGAUGGCAGUGAGGCGUUGAUGAUGAUAUGUUGAUUUGGGACUUAUAUGUUUGUGAUAAUGGGGUUUGAAGAGAUCUGAUACUUGAAACAAAGGAUGGAAAGAAUUGGAAAACCCGGAAAAGGAAUCGACAAAAAUUGGAAGAAGAGGAAGAAGAAGAAGAUGGGAAAUCUGAAAAGAGAUGAAGAGAAACGGAAGAGUAACCGAUCAAUUGUAUAUGGGCUUUGGAAUUCAGAAUAAGGAGGGGU